This 342-nucleotide RNase P RNA is filed under the name Candidatus Zixiibacteriota bacterium. Its description in RNAcentral is "RNase P RNA component class A". It matches the Rfam family "Bacterial RNase P class A". From Rfam's summary of the family: Ribonuclease P (RNase P) is a ubiquitous endoribonuclease, found in archaea, bacteria and eukarya as well as chloroplasts and mitochondria. Its best characterised activity is the generation of mature 5'-ends of tRNAs by cleaving the 5'-leader elements of precursor-tRNAs. Lineage: Bacteria; Pseudomonadati; Candidatus Zixiibacteriota. The record is from RNAcentral.
AAGGCAGGUUAGACGGUCGCCCCAUUUGGGGAGGAAAGUCCGAGCUUUCAAGGGCAGGGUGCCUCGUAACACGAGGGGUCCGUAAGGACACGGAAAGCGCCACAGAAAACAAACUACCCAUCCGGGAAAAGGUGAAAAGGCGGUGUAAGAGACCACCGCAUCGAUGGAGACAUCGAUGGCACGGCAAGCCCCACCCGAAAGAAAAGCCAAAUAGAGGGAGAGAGGUUGCCCGCCUCAAUUGAUCCCCGGGUAGGCCGCUUGAGGUCGUGCGCGAGCGCGAUCCCAGAUAGAUGAUCGUCACCCGUUAGGGAACAGAACUCGGCUUACAGACCUGCCUUGAUA